Long non-coding RNA from Arachis ipaensis, 1705 nucleotides. RefSeq lists it as uncharacterized. The record is from RefSeq and is a predicted model, not a curated record. NCBI's taxonomy places the organism in Eukaryota, Viridiplantae, Streptophyta, Magnoliopsida, Fabales, Fabaceae.
UUCUCACGCAACCUUCAUCUAUAAUUGUUCAUACCAAAAAGUCAUCUGAGAAACUGAGAAAAAAAAAUAAAAGAACAGAGCUUCGUGUCUUCAUCUUCCCGGUUUCUCACCAGCACACUCUCAACGAACGUCUCUCUCAUUCCCAAUUCUGAAACUCAAACUGUCUCUUCUCUCUCACUGCCACUAGAGUCUCUCUCGAUCUCACUAGAUUCUCUACUCGUUCACACUCACCAGCGUCUCGUUGCUGCUCUCGUCUCGUCGCCGGCAUUUCAACGUCUCACGGCCUUCCCUGGGCUCCUCCUCGCCGGCGACAGAAGCACUCAUCAGAUCGUCGUCGCUCAUCGUCUUCUGGUUUCAAGUACUCGCUGUCGCGAGUCGCCGUGGAUCGUGGACCAUCGUAGGGUCGUCAAUUGCUUCGUUGCUCGUCCUCUUCUGGGGUCGGGUCCUCUUCGUCACCCAGUCGCCGUUGGAUUGUCACAAUACACAUAUUUCAUAACAAUUUGAUCACCGGUGAAAACUCAUACAGCAAACUUUCUUGUUGAUUUGAGGAGCUGUUUAAUUUAGCCAACUCAGAUUCAAGUGCCACUUCUCAGUACCAAUUUAGCAUUACCGGUUUUGAGCUCUAUAAUGAAUAGGUCCUGUUCUCUUUUACUUACUGUAUACAACUUUCCUGGUAUCCACUGUUUGCUUCCUGGUUUUUGGUUGGCAAUUUUCUUGUAUACAACUCUUAAAGUUGUUUAUUUAAAAAAAGCCAAGUUCCUAGUUGUUUAUAAGUUAUCUUGGAAGUGAUUAUACUCCCUGUACAGAUUGCACAGAAUAUAAGAACUCAAGUAAAACUUUAUGUCACUAUCUAGCUAUCCUUUGUAAAAUGAGUGGAGGAACUUUAAUUUUCAGGAGGGGGAGACUCACAUAAAAAUGGCAAAAACAAUUUUUUUUUUUAGUUGCUGACGUGUUACUCUGUGAUUGGUUAUUUAUGUUACAUUUUGUAACUUCUCUUUGUAACAAAAAUUACAACCAAAAUAUAUAUUAUUAGAGAUGUCAACCAACUAUUUUAAUGGUGUAUGCAUGGAAAUGUGGAACUGUAUUAUGUAAGAUUAUUAUAUAUCUAGGUCGCAUGCAUGGACUUCUUCAAUCAAAAGGAGGGAAGACAUGGUAAAGGAUGAUGACACUAAGAGGCUCUACCAUUUCUACUUUAGCAAUAAUUUUGUAUAUUAUUAUUACUAUUAUGCAUAACAAGUUUGAACUCUUAAGUUAGCUAGCUGAAUUUGAUUUACAUAUAAUGGUUUUUCAUAUGAAGCUAUUCCAUUAAAUAUUUUCCCUUAAAUUUGUUUGUUUAGUUGCAUAUUUUAAUGCACAGUCUUCUCAAUGAACAUUACAAUGAGCAUGUAACUAAUUUAAAAAUCAUGGCUUGUAACUUUAUUGUUGUAUUGAUGUGAACAAGCUUGAAACUUACAACCAAAGGUCAUAACAACAUUUAAUUAAAAUCAAUCCCACACAUAAAUGGGGAAACCUUGUUCUUGCCACAGAGAAGGAGAAAAAAAAUUGUAUUCCAUACAACAAAAAUGGUAGCAUACAAAGAAGGAAAAUUUUUCCCAUUAUUUGUUACCUAAAAGUACAAGGGACUGGCCCCAGAGAAUUAAAUGGCACCAGGGUCAAGCACCAAAAAUGAACUGUAAAGAAUAGACUAAAACAAAAACAAGGUUGG